This 1217-nucleotide ribosomal RNA is filed under the name Cottus pollux (Japanese fluvial sculpin). RNAcentral's name for it is "partial 16S ribosomal RNA". It matches the Rfam family "Bacterial large subunit ribosomal RNA", at positions 701 to 2562 of the family's 2925-position model. The record is from RNAcentral. Lineage: Eukaryota; Metazoa; Chordata; Actinopteri; Perciformes; Cottidae.
UUUAGUUUGACGCCCCGAAACUACGUGAGCUACUUCAAGACAGCCUAUUAAUAGGGCAUACCCGUCUCUGUGGCAAAAGGGUGGGGAGAGCUUUGAGUAGAGGUGAUAAACCUACCGAACCUAGUUAUAGCUGGUUGUCCAAGAAAUGAAUAGAAGUUCAGCCUCUUGGCUUCUUUUUUCACACUAGCCUUAACCCCUAUUGAUGCCAAAAGAAACCGAGAGAGUUAGUCAAAGGGGGUACAGCCCCUUUGAAUCAAGACACAACUUUACUAGGAGGGUAAAGAUCAUAAUAACUAAAGCCAGGUGUUCCGGUGGGCCUAAAAGCAGCCAUCCCUUUAGAAAGCGUUAAAGCUCGGACAUACAACCUCCCCUUCUUAUUCUGAUCCCCUUAUCUUACCCCCCUAAACGUACUGGACCAUCCCAUGCCCCCAUGGGAGUGACUAUGCUAAUAUGAGUAAUAAGAGAGCCAAAGACUCUCUCCCCGCACACGUGUACAUCGGAACGGACGCCCCGCCGACCAUUAACGGCCCCAAACAAAGAGGGCAUUGGCUAGCAAACAAACAACAAGAAGAGCCUCCAACAAGAACCCGUUAACCCCACACAGGUGUGCCCUCAGGGAAAGACUUAAAGAGAGAAAAGGAACUCGGCAAACAUAAGCCUCGCCUGUUUACCAAAAACAUCGCCUCUUGUAACACUAGAAAUAAGAGGUCCCGCCUGCCCUGUGACUAUUUGUUUAACGGCCGCGGUAUUUUGACCGUGCGAAGGUAGCGCAAUCACUUGUCUUUUAAAUGAAGACCCGUAUGAAUGGCAUAACGAGGGCUUAGCUGUCUCCUCUCUCCAGUCAAUGAACUUGAUCUCCCCGUGCAGAAGCGGGGAUACAACCAUAAGACGAGAAGACCCUAUGGAGCUUUAGACACGAAAGCAGCCCACGUUAAGCACCCCGAACAAAGGGCUAAACCAAGUGGGCCCUGCCCUAAUGUCUUUGGUUGGGGCGACCGCGGGGAAUUAAAGAACCCCCACGUGGAGUGGGAACACUUUUCCUACAGCCAAGAGCUACAGCUCUAGAAAACAGAACUUCUGACCAACAAGAUCCGGCAGUGCCGAUCAACGGACCGAGUUACCCUAGGGAUAACAGCGCAAUCCUCUUUUAGAGCCCAUAUCGACAAGGGGGUUUACGACCUCGAUGUUGGAUCAGGACAUCCUAAUGGUGCAGCCGC